UUCUUCUUCCUCUUCUUCCUCUCUUUCCUUGUUGAGGCAAAGGAACCGAAGUUUGCAGGGACUCUGUACGUAAUUGUGAACGGCAUAGCAAUUAUAAUCCUCCAUUUUGCGAAACCGAUCAUGCAGCAGAAAAUUGUCCGAGGUCUUGCGAUCUUUGCGAUCGUCUGUGUAGGUAUAUUUCUGUGGUGGGAAAUCAGGCCUGCUCUCAUGCAAAGGUGAUUUAUCAAGUGGAAAUUUUCCCCAGGACUACGAAUCAAAGCCAUUAGACAGUGAAGAAUAGCGCGGAAGAACUGCAACUAGGCUGUCGUGGUUUAUCAAUGUACAGCGUUUAGAACUAUAGCCAGCUUAAGAAUCAUCGACAAGGCAAGAAAACAGAAGCCAGUUUUUUGAACUAUGACGAACUAUCAUGAGUGGUUCGUUGAUUAUUUGGUUAGUUAGCUGGCUUCAGUCCUAAAUAAUGGAAGAAGCUAAAAUAUAAAUGAAUAAAGAGGUUAAGUUUCUAAAGAAACUGUGGUGCUGCGUCGGUGAGGGAGUAUAAGAAAAUAAUUUGUUAUUAUCCACUUAGUUGCUAGUUCAAAUUGGCCACCGUAAGGAGUUUCAAGGGCUGACAUUUUGAGCGUCAGCCCUUCGCCAGAGCAAAUGACUGUCGAAACGUCAGCUUUUAAAACAAUAUGUGGAGGGCAACUGACAUUAUCAACUCAGUUGAUAAAACCAACCCGCAAAACCGAACCAAACCAAAACCAACAAAAACCAAACCUUCGUGCUGAAGUAUUAAGUUUAGUGAGAUUAUAUUUUGCGCAGAUAAUGAAAAAGUGCAGUUAUAUCUUUUAUGUUUCUU
Pocillopora verrucosa is the source of this 838-nucleotide non-coding RNA. The record is from RefSeq and is a predicted model, not a curated record. NCBI's taxonomy places the organism in Eukaryota, Metazoa, Cnidaria, Anthozoa, Scleractinia, Pocilloporidae.